UGUACUAACCAGUUCAUCUAAUCUGCAGAACAUACUUGAAAUUCCCAUUGAGGCCUCUCAUUUCAAUCGACGGAAGCACAGUCUAUGAAUUAGAUAACAAGUUUAAAAUUGUUAGGCAUGCUGAGAGCUGGAAUGUUUCUGCACUUGAAGCUAUUGGUCAGAUAUUCACCCCAAGCUUUGAUAGACCUGGUGAAUGAAUUUGAGAAAACGUCUGGAAAUCUAAAGCUGAUGUAAUCAGAUCUCUGCAGUUUGAUUAAAAAGUUGUAGACUUUCGUAUGGAUUAAGUUAGCAACCAUCAUCCUGUCUGCUCAAAGCAACUCAGCAGUUGGAUGGAAAAGAAAUGAAAUGAGUUCCGGGACUUGAACCCGGGUCUCUCGGGUGAGAGCCGAGUAUCCUAACCCACUAGACUACAACUGAUCCUGCUUGCCCUCCUCUGGCAACUAUAAUACAUCUGUUAUUGAUAUUGCAUGAUUU
Molecule: long non-coding RNA, 474 nt
Organism: Populus euphratica (Euphrates poplar)
Lineage: Eukaryota; Viridiplantae; Streptophyta; Magnoliopsida; Malpighiales; Salicaceae
Exons: 2
Source: RefSeq, a predicted model, not a curated record